Molecule: long non-coding RNA, 216 nt
Filed under: Nicotiana benthamiana
Lineage: Eukaryota; Viridiplantae; Streptophyta; Magnoliopsida; Solanales; Solanaceae
Description: long non-coding RNA (NBEN_LNC017194)
Source: RNAcentral
UCCUUGGGUUUUGGACAAUGUGACUUGGUGUGCCCAAGUUUUUCACAAUUUUGGCAUGAAGGACAUGGUUCUUCCUUCUUCAGUUCCUUCUUCAUAAACUUAUAAAACUUUUCAAUUAAAUCGUUGGAAAUAGUAUCAUCAUCGCUUUCAGAAUCACUUACCUCUACUCUUUUAGACGAUGAGGCUUUGAAGGCAAUACCUGGACUUUUCUUAUUU